UUCUCACCUGAUGUGUUUAAUCCAACACUCUCAGUUCUUUUAUCACAUCAUCUACACAUGUUCCAUGGUGGUCCAGCAGAAGGGGACGGACAGGCUCUCUAUAGUGGUUACCCGUUACCUUGUACAUCUGUGAACCAGCCUCUUCAGCAAACAUAUCAGAUAAGCAGCAGUCCUUAAUUUCAGGUUAUCUUUUCGCUUCACUUUUUCACAUUUUUUUUUCCUGCUCUGACUCGCCUAAUGACAUCUGAAAAAAAAAACAAAUAUGUCACCGCCCCUCAAAAAAACAACAACAUUUGCCCUAUAAGGAGGCCUAAAAAAGUAGAUGUCAAGUAUUUUCUGUUAAUAAGGACUGAUGAAAGAGGAAGUGUUUUUCUCAGGCCUGCUAUAGCUGGUCUGAUGUGUGCGUUAAAACUGACUUUAUCUAACUGAGUGGGUUUAUUUUUAGAGAGAUAAAGAUGUGAAAGACAAGAAAAAGUGUCAGGUUUCAGAAUACUGAACUGAAAAGUUAUUCUCACAGCUGUGGUUUUAUGAGGACCAAUGUUAGCCUCAAAUAUUAAAUUUCUGAGUCAGCUCUGUGGUGAAA
This is a long non-coding RNA of Micropterus dolomieu (smallmouth bass), 583 nucleotides long. RefSeq lists it as uncharacterized. The transcript has 2 exons. NCBI's taxonomy places the organism in Eukaryota, Metazoa, Chordata, Actinopteri, Centrarchiformes, Centrarchidae. The record is from RefSeq and is a predicted model, not a curated record.